GACGAACGCUGGCGGCGUGCUUAACACAUGCAAGUCGAACGGAAAGGCCUGCUUUCCCUUGUGGAUUGCGGGUACUCGAGUGGCGAACGGGUGAGUAACACGUGUGUGAUCUGCCCCCAACUUGGGUAUAAGUCUGGGAAACUGGGUCUAAUUCCCGAUAGGACUGCAGGGUGGUGCCUUUGGUGGCAAAUGCUUUUCUAGUGGUUGGGGAUGAGCUCGCGGCCUAUCAGCUUGUUGGUGGGGUAAUGGCCUACCAAGGCGGCGACGGGUAGCCGGCCGGAGAGGGUGGACGUCCAGAUUGGGACUGAGAUACGGCCCCUACUCCUACGGGAGGCAGCAGUGGGGAAUGGUGGACCAUGGGCGGAAUCCUGAGGCAUCGACGCCGCGUGGGAGAUGACGGCCUUCGGGUGGUAAACUUCUUUCGACCGCGAGGAAGCCACCUGGUUGGAAGGGUGGUGACGGUAGUGGUAGAAGAAGCGCCGGCUAACUACGUG
RNAcentral lists this ribosomal RNA (494 nucleotides) under uncultured bacterium. Its description in RNAcentral is "partial 16S ribosomal RNA". It matches the Rfam family "Bacterial small subunit ribosomal RNA", at positions 28 to 507 of the family's 1533-position model. The record is from RNAcentral.